GACGAACCGUGCGAACGUUGCUCGGAAUUACUGGGCGUAAAGGGCGCGUAGGCGGGAUGGCAAGUCGGUCGUGAAAUCCCUCGGCUCAACUGAGGAUCGUCGAUCGAUACUGCCGUUCUUGAGGAUUGCAGAGGAGACUGGAAUUCCCGGUGUAGCGGUGAAAUGUGUAGAGAUCGGGAGGAACACCGGUGGCGAAGGCGGGUCUCUGGGCAAUUCCUGACGCUGAGGCGCGAAAGCGUGGGGAGCAAACGGG
RNAcentral lists this ribosomal RNA (253 nucleotides) under uncultured bacterium. RNAcentral's name for it is "partial 16S ribosomal RNA". It matches the Rfam family "Bacterial small subunit ribosomal RNA", at positions 524 to 776 of the family's 1533-position model. The record is from RNAcentral.